This is a non-coding RNA of Danio rerio (zebrafish), 1267 nucleotides long. Lineage: Eukaryota; Metazoa; Chordata; Actinopteri; Cypriniformes; Danionidae. The record is from RefSeq and is a predicted model, not a curated record.
UAUGAACAAUAUGUUAUUUCUAACAUUUAAACUAUUGCUUAUAAUAUAAAUAUAUAUUUCUUCCAUUUAUUUAUGCUGAUUCCGACCACUUCACGUUUGUGAUUUUAAUAUUUGAAGCAUUUAUUUAUAUAUUUGACAUUCAUUAUUUAUUAUUUUAAUUUAUUGCCUUUUCCGCUGCACAAUUGAACAUUUGAUUCAUGUUUCUAUGCAUAAAUAUAAAGGCUAUGUUGUUUAAAUCUAAAAUAUGAGACCAAAAAAAUAUAGCAAAGUCCUUAACAAAACCACUUUUGUAAUCAAUUUGACCAGAAGCGAUGUUUCCAUAUUUAUUGCUUGUUCCUUGUUUUGGAAUGUUUUUUAGUGUUCGUGUUGGGGAUUUUAUGUCUGCACUCAAUACAGUUAUUUCUGUGUGUUACAAAUGCAGUGUGGCAAUUUUAUUUUUAAUGGAGCUGUCACAAUAUUUAUCCAUCUGUGAUUUAUACUCUUUCCAUACCAUAUUGACUUCCUUCAUUCUACUCUUAUAUUCUUUUCUUUUUAUUCACUUAACACCUACCAACCACUAAAUUACUAAAAAAAAACUCAUUACAGUAAUUUCAGAUACAACUUUGAGACUAUUUCCAGAAAAAAACAAAAACAAAAACAUCAUGUGUAUUUUUUUUCUUCUGGAGAAAACCUCACUGUAUCGAUCUUCAUUACAGCAGAUCCUCUUGACGUCAAGCUUUUGUGCAGGUUAAUAUGGAGAGCAUUUCCAUGAUAGGACAAGGUACAAACAAGCGAUGUUUCUCGCAGGGGGUUGUUAUUGAAUCCUGAGUCCUGUUGUUAAAGAAGGACAUAAAUAGAGGAGUAGACAACCGGACUCUUCACAUUUGUUUAGUUCUUCCCAUCAAAAACGAUUCUUGAUUCAACAAAAAUGAUAUCAAGAGUGUGGAUUUUAUGGACACUUGUGUUAUUUUUAUUGGUGACAGAGUCUCAUUGCAUUCAAAAGAGCUCGUUAUCUAAAAACUGGGGACCACAAUCCAUGCUUUACUUAAAAGGAAAACAUGGAAGACGGUUUGUUCCUGACAUUGAUGAUCAUUUCAUUUCCAAUUCAGGGUUGAAAAGCUGGUACGCAGUUUUCAAAGGAUUGCAAAAGCUGAAGUCGCCGAAUGCAAGACAACUGACAGUAUUUUUCACACCCCGUAAUUUUGUUAUCCGUUAGUUCGAAGGUUUAUGUACAGUGUGACAUAUUUUGUACCGUUCAAGACUUCAAAAUAAAUCUAUUUAUGUCAAA